CUCCGGUUGAUCCUGCCGGACCCGACUGCUAUCGGAUUGGGAUUUAGCCAUGUUAGUUGUGCGUUCCUUGGCUACAGGGGACGCAGCAUACGGCUCAGUAACACGUAGUCAACCUGCCCUGGAGACGUGGACAAACCCGGGAAACUGGGGCCUAUCCGCGAUAGAUGACCUCAUCUGGAAGGAGUGGUCGUCCAAAGGGCGGCACGGGUAUGCUCCGUGCCUUUCGCUCCAGGAUGGGACUGCGGCCGAUCAGGCUGUUGGCGGGGUAAUGGCCCACCAAACCUGUAACCGGUACGGGCUUUGAGAGAAGGAGCCCGGAGAUGGACACUGAGACAAGGGUCCAGGCCCUACGGGGCGCAUCAGGCGCGAAAACUUCGCAAUGCGCGAAAGCGUGACGAGGCUAGUCCGAGUGCUUCCUGCUAAAGGGAGCUUUUCUCGGCUGUAAAAAGGCCGGUGAAUAAGGGGAGGGCAAGUCUGGUGUCAGCCGCCGCGGUAAUACCAGCUCCUCGAGUGGUCGGGGCGAUUAUUGGGCCUAAAGCAUCCGUAGCCUGUUCUGUAGGUCCUCUGUUAAAUCCAACGGCUUAACCGUUGGCCCGCAGAGGAUACCGCAGGACUAGGAGGCGGGAGAGGUGGACGGUACUCCACGUGUAGGGGUAAAAUCCUUUGAUCCGUGGAAGACCACCAGUGGCGAAGGCGGUCCACCAGAACGCGCUCGACGGUGAGGGAUGAAAGCUGGGGGAGCGAACCGGAUUAGAUACCCGGGUAGUCCCAGCCGUAAACGAUGCGAGCUAGAUGAUCCGGUCGCAAAUCGCGAUCGGAGUGUCGCAGGGAAGCCGUUAAGUUUGCCGCCUGGGAAGUACGGACGCAAGUCUGAAACUUAAAGGAAUUUGGCGGGGGAGCA
Molecule: ribosomal RNA, 901 nt
Filed under: uncultured archaeon
Lineage: Archaea
Description: bacterial SSU rRNA
Rfam family: Archaeal small subunit ribosomal RNA
Source: RNAcentral